This is a long non-coding RNA of Alexandromys fortis (reed vole), 927 nucleotides long. RefSeq lists it as uncharacterized. The record is from RefSeq and is a predicted model, not a curated record. Lineage: Eukaryota; Metazoa; Chordata; Mammalia; Rodentia; Cricetidae. The transcript is spliced from 4 exons.
CUUAAAGAGCAGGCUGUGUGUCUUCUCUCGCCUCAGAGGAGAAAGGAUUAAGGAAGGGAAGGCAUGCUUCCUCAGGGACAGACACCCAAGUUCAGUCCUGAGGCACCUAGCCUCCUUGCAAGAAGACAUCGUCGUCCCCCAUGCUGCACCUGCCUCAACAGCUCUGGCGGCUGCAUUCCACAAACCCAUUUCCCGGUGGUACAAGCAAUGCCACUCUAGAACAGAGGUGAGGUUAAGGAACUGCUGUGACAAACGCCAUGUCCAAAGCAACUAGGGAGGGAAGGCUUUAUUUGGCUUAUACUUCCACAUCACAGUUCAUCAGAUGAUGGAAAUCCAGGCAGGAGCUGAAGCAGAGGGCAUGGACGACCGCGGCUUCCUGGCUUGUUCUCCAGGACCACCUUCCGGGUGAGGGAAAUUGGAAGGGUGUGGUGGAACCAUCACUACCGGCUGGACUCUCUCACAUCUAUCUUGCACAAGAAGACGCCCUCUCACCCUGGCCACCAGAACAGAAGAUUUUGCCACCUAGCAGGAGGCUCCAUCCUCUUCCAGACCUCUUCCCUCCAUCAUCCCGUGGUGCUCAGUGCUCCGGAUGGAUGGAGUGCUCAGACCACCUGCUGGGUGCUAUUAGAUGCUGCACCCAGUUUCAAGUUUCAGGAACUAUGGCCUGUUCUCCCUAGGGAAAUCCUUAGCCCAACCCAAAGGAGGGAAGAAGGUCCAGGAAAGAGCUGAAGAAUUUGAUUUCAACAAGUGAACAGAUGUGGCUGGUAUGAAGUGACAGUUGAUGCUCAGUGGUCUUGUAAGACUUUGGGUGGAGAAGGGGCCUAUUCAAGAGCCACACACAGGGCUUUGAUAAGCAGGGCCUUAAUAUGUUGCUGUCCAUAAGUUGACAUAGAGUUUCUGUUGCUGUUUCCUGCUGUGUGUCAGGGG